Molecule: ribosomal RNA, 395 nt
Filed under: uncultured bacterium
Lineage: Bacteria
Description: partial 16S ribosomal RNA
Rfam family: Bacterial small subunit ribosomal RNA
Source: RNAcentral
CCUACGGGAGGCAGCAGUGAGGAAUAUUGGUCAAUGGCCGCAAGUCUGAACCAGCCAAGUCGCGUGAAGGAAGACGGCUCUAUGGGUUGUAAACCUCUUUUGUCGGGGAGCAAAGCCAUCCACGUGUAGCUCUUUGAAAGUACCCUACGAAUAAGCAUCGGCUAACUCCGUGCCAGCAGCCGCGGUAAUACGGAGGAUGCGAGCGUUAUCCGGAUUUAUUGGGUUUAAAGGGUGCGUAGGCGGUAGGUCAAGUCAGCGGUGAAAUUUCGGGGCUCAAACUCGGAAUUGCCGUUGAAACUGUAUGCCUUGAGUGUGGUUGAGGUAGGCGGAAUGCGUGGUGUAGCGGUGAAAUGCAUAGAUAUCACGCAGAACUCCGAUUGCGAAGGCAGCAUACC